AAUCCUGGCUCAGGAUGAACGCUAGCUACAGGCUUAACACAUGCAAGUCGAGGGGAAACGACAUCGAAAGCUUGCUUUUGAUGGGCGUCGACCGGCGCACGGGUGAGUAACGCGUAUCCAACCUGCCCAUCACUUGGGAAUAACCUUGCGAAAGUAAGACUAAUGCCCAAUGAUAUCCCACGAAGGCACCCGAAUGGGAUUAAAGAUUUAUCGGUGAUGGAUGGGGAUGCGUCUGAUUAGCUUG
This 244-nucleotide ribosomal RNA is filed under the name uncultured bacterium. RNAcentral describes it as "partial 16S ribosomal RNA". It matches the Rfam family "Bacterial small subunit ribosomal RNA", at positions 15 to 248 of the family's 1533-position model. The record is from RNAcentral.